Bactrocera oleae (olive fruit fly) is the source of this 323-nucleotide non-coding RNA. The record is from RefSeq and is a predicted model, not a curated record. Lineage: Eukaryota; Metazoa; Arthropoda; Insecta; Diptera; Tephritidae.
UUUUUUAUUUCAAUAAAUUUUAUUUAAAAAAAGUAUGUAUGUUUACUUAAGGUUAACCGGAUAGUCGAAAAUUAGCGAUUAAUUCAAUAGUCGACGACUUACGACAAUCCGGAUACUGUAAACCGAAUAUUAUUCUAAUAAUGCCCUAUUCGGUUAAUGCGGUUAGUCGAUUAGUCGAAUACCAAGAUUCAAUUUUUAUGUUGUUUUUAUAGCAGCACAACAAAUAUUCCCUAAAUGUUUUAAAACAAUUUCGUGUAGGUGAUAUUUCUUGGUCCCUUCCGAUUGCGGAAAUAGUUUUAGUGGCUUCCUCCUAGUUAAGUUAA